GAUGAACGCUGGCGGCGUGCUUAAUACAUGCAAGUCGAACGGAGAGUGUAGCAAUAUACUCUUAGUGGCGAACGGGUGAGUAACGCGUUGGUGACCUGCCCCGAAGUGAGGGAUAACAGUUCGAAAGGACUGCUAAUACCCCAUGUGGUCUUAGAGAUUAGAUGCUUUUUGACUAAAGGUGCAAAUCGCUUCGGGAGGGACCUGCGUCCCAUCAGCUUGUUGGUAGGGUAACGGCCUACCAAGGCGACGACGGGUAGGGGACCUGAGAGGGUGACCCCCCACACUGGCACUGAAACACGGGCCAGACACCUACGGGUGGCAG
This 322-nucleotide ribosomal RNA is filed under the name uncultured Chloroflexota bacterium. RNAcentral's name for it is "bacterial SSU rRNA". It matches the Rfam family "Bacterial small subunit ribosomal RNA", at positions 28 to 351 of the family's 1533-position model. Lineage: Bacteria; Bacillati; Chloroflexota. The record is from RNAcentral.